Molecule: long non-coding RNA, 2713 nt
Organism: Solea solea (common sole)
Lineage: Eukaryota; Metazoa; Chordata; Actinopteri; Pleuronectiformes; Soleidae
Exons: 7
Source: RefSeq, a predicted model, not a curated record
CACGGCCCUCAGGUUGCAACACUGGUGAACAAGUCAGAAUGGUUAAUGGACAGAAAUGGACCUGACUCACGAGAGACUUGCAUGAAUAUGUGGGCCCUCAGGAGUGUUGCUUCCAGCCACACAGCAAACUACCCCGUUCCCGACAAACAACAAGUGAACCAAAGCUCUCCCCCCAUCCCAAAGCACCAGACACUUACAGCUCCAACACAGGGCAAAGCAGUCCACGAUCAAAAUCAGUUAACUGGACAAAAUUGAGUAAUCCAUCCGCCUGCUCUCUGGAUCGACUUCAGUUCAAAUGCUUGGAAUGCUGGACAGAUCCACUCCUCGGGGAUACAAUAGAUCCUGGAACCAAGCUUUUGCAGCUGGGCUGCCCUCCCUCACUUGGAUGCAUCAACAAAGCGUGAAGUGGCCACUCUAAUCUGGCUUUCAGUGAGCUCCAUGGUAACAGACUUCAUCCUCCUGCUGACAUUACAUCAUGCUGAUCGGUGCAGCGAAGGCCGGCUUUUUGAAAUACCUUCAGAAGAAAAGGGCUUGUGACCUGUACCCGGAAGGAUACCGCCAUGAGUCUGCCAGUCCAUGCCGAGGGACGUGACAGAGCUGCAGUAAAUUACGCUCUCGGGAUGAGAACGGGUUGGUCAACCGCGUCCUUCAAAGGAGACUGAAGUGAGGCACUCUGAAAUGAGACAGUCUUGCACAAAGAGAACUUACCGGCUACGUCACCAUUUCCGAAUUCUGGGAUCCGUUUUGUGAACGGGCAAGCAUUGGCUGCAACGGAAGGUGUUGACAAAUCAAAUUCAAUCUCUCUUACGCUGCUGCGCAGUGAUGCAUUUUGACAACAACCAGUUGACUAAUGCACACUCUGGAGGAUCCAGCCUGUGGACUGGAACAGCUAUAGUCAGCGCUGACUGCACUAUGUGCAUCCCUUGUGCACCCUGCACUGAGAACCAGCCUGAGACAUGAUCACAGUGAGGAAAACAGAUUUAAAUCUCAUCACUUAAUCUCACUGUUAGACGGCUUUCUCCCAACAUUAAACUCCAGAAAAAGAUCAAAUCCAGAUAAAAUCAACAAUUUUACAUCACAGCACACAUGAGUUGUUGAUCUACUGCUGUCUCCAUGUCCUGUACAUUUUAGUUGGCACUACAGUUUUUUUCCUUAAAUAAUGAUUAGGUCCAUAAGUAUUUAUUCACCUUUAAUAUACAGUAUCAUGCCAUGCCAUUCAAUAGUCUUUUAUUAUGCCGUCACACAUUAUAGUUACAUAUAUAAUUGACUUAUACUGUAUUUAGAGGAAAGAGAAUCAGUAUCGAUGUAAUUAAAAUAUAUUAGAGUAGAAAAACGAAAUAAUUGGUUUAGUGUUUAACAUUAUCAAAUGUACUUCAGGAUAAUAUGCAUUCAUUCCUGUCCCCACAGAGCCAAGGUGCCACCAUCCUCUGCCUCUCUCAUGACAUGUUUACAUCUGAUGCUUCUACAUAUUAAACCAGUACAUGGCUUAUUAAUAGAAUUUAUGUGCCAUAUACCGUCUUGUCAGCAAUAGCCUGCCUAAUUAUCCAGGCUGAAUGUUAUUGGUUCGCUUUAUUAAUGGUCCAUGGCAUUGUCAGGGACAACCAAUAAAUAUGGCACUGGGGAUUCCACCACGUGAAAUGGGAAUAUUUCAUUCUUUUAAUGAAGCUCUGUCAAUGCUCAGAGCACACACCCUUAUGUAAAUAUGCAUAUGAUCCUUCAAAGACAUAUUAUGCAAAGGAUGGGCAAGUGAUGGUAGCUUACUUCCUUUUACAGCUGAGGAGCUGCUUUGAGCCACCGCGGUCCCUCAUCAUAAGAAAAACAAUAGCAUUGAUACAGAUAAGCUUUACCGCAUCCUUUUUUUUAUCACAAUGAUAUUGUUCGCUGUGUGGAUUUAAUGAGCACCACGGGGCCCUGGCAUGACCUAACUAUCAUUUUGAGGGUAACCAAUCCCAUUGGAAUUAAAGGGAAAAGCUUACAUUACAGAUACAGGCAUUUACAGCAACGGGUCAAGGCAUCAAAGUGGCACCCUUGUUUUUUUUUCGCACCCUUCACUGGAACAUAAUGGAAAAUCAAACUUCAUUAUCAGUACAUCGAGCCGUAAAAGACAAAUGUGUGUGUUACUGCUCACACUAUGAUUUCCACUGUGUUUUAUGUGCUCCCUCAGGAGAUGUUCUGGCUUGUUGCAGAUCAACCAUAAAUCCCAAACUUGGUCUGUUUUCUUUUUUUCUUUUUUCUUUUUUUAUCAGACAGGGAGGCUGCUGUCUGCCUGAAAAUUGACCAUGGCUCAGGGCUGGAUAGAGACCUAUUUGACAGGCCCCAGUGAGGACUGAAUAGACAGCAGUGUCUGAUAAAUGGCCUGUGUCCGUCUUGAUCACAAAGCACUCACACCAAGCGAGACACCAACAUAUAGUAUGUAUGAGUGAGUGAGUGUGGGCAAGUCCAACGUUCUCAAUAGACCUUUGAUGUCACACUGUCAGUGUGUCCUGCUAAUCAAUGGAAUGGAAAUCACCAACAAAAACAAUGUGAUUAACCAGUCAUGAUGCAUCUGUUUUUUUUUUUUUUAUGUGCUGUUGAAAAAUGUAAACGCAGAGCAGAUAGAACCUCCUUUGGCAGCAGUAACCUCAAUCAAGUGAUUGCAGUAAUUAAAGAUCAGAACUCUUUAUAGGGUCAGCGUUCUGCCGCAUCACCCAACUUCUGCUGAGUAAUAGCCGUC